Non-coding RNA from Vicugna pacos (alpaca), 4269 nucleotides. The record is from RefSeq and is a predicted model, not a curated record. Lineage: Eukaryota; Metazoa; Chordata; Mammalia; Artiodactyla; Camelidae.
UGUCAUCAUUUCUAGAUCAGGUGCUUCCACCAGCUGUAUCACCCCCCACCAAUCCCCACAUGGAGGGCCUCCGCUUUCACACCGGCGGGGCCAGGGGGCUCACUACUUGAGAGGCAGGCUCUUCAGCCGCUGGGCAGCUUGUACCAGGGAGUCCUGCCAGCCACUGAGCCAUGAGCUGCUUUCGGACACUCUUGCUUGUUGCCGGGGGCUCUGCCUCCUGGGGGUGCUCAACUUAGCUCAGGCCCUGUCCCUGUGGAGAUCUGGGGCUCAUGGUUGGCAUCUCCCAGGUGGAGGGAACUGGGGCCUCCCUUGGGCUCAUACCUUUUGGUGGAGCAGUUGUUGGGUCUGUCCACUGGCCUGGGACCCCCAGAGGACAGACUCUGCUGAGGGGAGGAGGCCGUCCGGCCAGGAGGGGGACACAGCCACUAUGGAGGGAGGGCCAGGGGCUGAGGGUGGGGAGCGGGGAGGGUGCCCCCUCAGCUUGGGUGCUGAGACGGCCUCAGAGAAGGUGCCCAGAGGGCUACGACAAAGAAGCAGACAGCAAGAGUCAACCUGGGCUGGGAAGACUGAAGUUGGCCGAGUUCCAGGAGGCAGAACAGCCUGGUUAAGGCCCGGAGCUGGCGGAAGUCUGCGGGGCGGGGGCUGCGGGCACGGAGAGCGGGCAGUGCCGGUGACCACGCGGGGCCUCAGGGGCUGGGUUUUACCCAGAGUGAGAUGGCCUUGGUGGGUCUGAGUGGGGAGAGCAGUUUAUUCCGCUUUAAGCAAAACCUUUUGGUUGUUGGGAGGAGAAGUGCCUGGAGGGGACCGAGGGCAGCUGGGGACCCACUCUGAGGCUGGCAUGGUCGUCCCUGCAGAGCCGAGCACAGUCAGACCAGGCAGGUGGGGCUGCAGGUAGAGACCAAGAGGUGUUUCCGAAGUGAGACCCGCGGACCUCUUGGGAAGGGCAGGGGCCGCUGCUGAGCGGUCCUCCGGUGGGCACCUCCCACCCCAAGCGGUGCCAAGACUAGGACACUACCCGGCACAAGGGCUCCAGCUCUCCCACCCAGGAUAGCCCAGCUGAGUUCUGCCUGGUCAUCGCCCGUGUGGAGGGCAGGAUGUCCCGAAGCUGCCAGCGCCGGGACUGAGGGCCGCAGUGUCCAGGUCAGUCUCCAAAACUCGUAAACUCAGGCUGACAAGGCUGCUCACCAACUUUCUCCAAGGACAGCGGGAAGGACUCCUGGGCCGAGACUGCCCCCAGGGGUUUGGGCAGGUCUCUCUACCCCUCAGGUCCUGUGCUGGUGGGGUGAAGGUGUGAAGGGACCCGGAGGCCGGGGGACCCAGGUGCAGCGCGGCUGCUGGCCUUCGCCUUGAUGGAGGCGGUGGGAGCACCCAGCCCGGGGGCGGUGCUGCAUGGGCACCCAGGCUCCUGCAGGGGGGCAGCCCCACGUGGGCUGUGCGGGUCCGGCUCUGCUCAGAAGCAGGAGCGCUCUCCUCGGGUCAUAAAUCAAGCCACGUCACCCCCAUUUACUGCCUCCAGCGAUGUCCCCGGCACGUAGAACGGUGUCCAUUCCGCAUGUGGACGAGUGCGCCAGCUGAUGGGUGGGUGUGCGGCUGUCUGUUCUCUUGUCUGCUGCCUGUGCCCCUGGAGAACAGGGACUGGCUCUUCUUUCCCACUUGACAGGAUGCUCCGUGGGGGGAUCCAAAACUGGGCCCCUGCAGCCUGGUCCUUCCCUCUGGGCCCAGCCAUCUGGUCGGGAGACAGUCUCUCAGAGUGACACCUGCCGCUGGAGCUGGGGCAGGGACAGAAAGAGAGGAAGCUGGAGGACGGGCAGGUGUGAGCUCCAGUCAGGAGGCUGGGACAUGGGCACGCCUCGGGAGGGCCAUGGAUGCCACCAGGGAUGAAAUCGAGGGAUUUGGGACAUGACUUCUGCGAGGGUGGUUGGUGCCAGGACCCAGUGCUGCUCACCCUGAGAUCAGCCUGUCAAGUGGAAGUUGAAAAUGCUGUGAGCUCGUGGUGCGAGGAGGUGCACGGGAAACAGCUCUGGGUGGAAAUGACAUGGUCCCACAGGAAUGCAGCGGUGGGCUGUCACCUCUCUGGACCCUGAACAACCCAGAUCUGGGAAGAGGGCCAGGCAGCAGCCCAUGGGCUGCAUGGAGCUGCCCUUCACUGUGACGGGGGAAGAAAGGCCUGACAACCCCGCCACAACCCCCUCACUGUUGUAACCUGGGGGCCUGGGGGCCUGCUGAGUGCUUAGAUCCUCAGAUCUGUGGCCUGUGAGUUAGGAGAAUGGGCCAGGUGUGGCCACCUGCUCCCACCUCCAACGUCAUGCCCUUCAUGGUGAUGAUGAAGGCCACCAGUGUCAUCUUCAUUCUUGCCCACUGGAGACUCCCUGUGUGCUAAGGGUCCCCAGGCCCAGCCUGUUUAAUCCUUGGGACAAUUCCAUGAGCUUUGUACUAAAAACCGCCAUUUAACAGAUGAGGAAACUGAGGCCCAGAGAAGCCCAGUGACUGGCCCAAGUCCAACCCCCCUGCCCUCCCUCCUUCUGUUCUCCCCCUUCCCUUCUCCUCCCCUCUCCCUCUCCCCUCUCCCCAUCUCAUUUCUCCCCCUCCCUCUUUUACUAGACAAUUUUUUUUAAUGAGUUCUCAUGGUGUGUAGGCAUGAGCCAGGUGCUGGAAAUACCAAGAUGACCGAGGCCUUCCUGGGCCUCUCCUCAGCUGGUUCCAGACAGGAUGACAAGCAGGUGGGUCCCUAGGCCAACUCGGGCACAUGGCUGGUGGUUCUUUGGAGAACCGUGAGCCAUGGGGCUGAGGCGGAACCUGGCUCAGGAAAGUGUGCUGUAAUCCAUUAGCGAUGUCUGCCCUGCACGAAGGUGCAGGAGCCAGGGGUGACUGUGCUGUCUGCCUGUGAACUCUAGACUAGCAGACCCUCUAAAAUGCAUUCAGGCAGUGCUGUGGGCCUUGCCUGGCCCUCCAAACCAGUUCAGCACCCUUGUCUCCAUUUUCAGAUGAGAAAGCAGAUUCUACUUAAGGUCUUACAGCUCAACUGUGGCAGCUGGGAUCUUAACCCAGGUUCCAAGGAUCCCAGUUUUCUGUGGUAUCAUGCAAUUAUGCCUUGUUCCUCUCUUCCCUUUGGCUGCUAGGGAGCUCAGAAUGGAGCUUUAGGCUUGCUCUCGGGUGCCACAUUGGCCUAGGGUUUGGAGCAUGUGUGUCACCCUCUCCUUUGGGCUGGCUCUCCUCCCUGCUGGGCCUCCCGUGGAGCAGGCCGGACAUAAGUUAUCAACUAUAAAUAAAACCAAGACUUCCGUUCUGGCUCUCACUUUAGUUUCCUGGUGCAUUUUUUUAAGUCCUGGAUCGGGAGGGGGGACCCUCCUAACGGAAGAUGACAUCACCAUCAGCUGGCCCUGGAGGGCAGGCCCCCAACCCCACAGGCCCGCGUGGGCCCUGAAUGCCCCCAUUAUGAGGGGUAACCUCAUUACACAAGUCGCGCCGCACGAUGGAAUUUCAAAUGGGGUUUUGUGGUUUCUGUCCUUCUCAGCAGAGCGCACACAGGCAGCUGCGGUCACCCGGCUUCCUCUGCCGCCGCAGCCCUGGCCCCCGGCCAGCCCAGUGACCACCCGUUCUACCGUGAGUCAGUUUCAUUCUUAACGCUCUGACUCAGGCCCCUUUAAAGGGACAGCCAAGCUGAUUCCUCCCGGGCCGGGAGGCGGUGGACGGAGGUCAGGAGGAAGCCUGGGGAUCUCUGGCCCGCAGCUGGCUCCGGAGCUGGUUAAUAACAGAGAACGACAGGUAGCAGGGAAAAGAAAAGAAGCUGGUGGAUGCUCGGACGUGACCCACAGGGCGUGGCUGGGCAGGAAGGUGCCGGAUGUGGCCACGGAGCCUCAGGUUUGCGGCUCCUCUGGACCAGGAAAAUCAUGCGGACCUCACUGUAGGAGAAAUUUCUUUUGUGUGUUUCUCUUCAUGAGAAAACCUGACCACGUUACUCCCAGAAGAUGUGGCUUUGGUGCAUUGAAGCAAGAAUCCUGGGAUUCCUGGCCGAGGAAUCCUGGGUUUGCGUGCAGUCAGUAACCUGCUGUGUGACCUUGCACAGUCCCUUUGCCUCUCUGGGCCUUCCCUGCUUCAUCGGAAGGGAGGCAGUGUGGUGCAGUGGUUAAGAACAGGGGCUCUGCCCACCAGUCAGAAUGGCCUUCAUUGAGAAGUCUACAAAUAAUAGAUGCUGGCAAGGGCGUGGAGAAAAGGGAGCCCUCCGACACUGCUGGUGAGGAUGUAGUUUGGUGCAGCUAUGAUGGAAAA